Drosophila virilis is the source of this 954-nucleotide non-coding RNA. Lineage: Eukaryota; Metazoa; Arthropoda; Insecta; Diptera; Drosophilidae. The record is from RefSeq and is a predicted model, not a curated record.
GUUUCCGCUGUUAACAGGCACAGCUUUUAGCUAUUGUGUCUUUCAAAGGUUUCCUUCGUGCUGCAUUUGUUGGAGAAGGUGGACGAUGUGCAUAUUUGCACUCUUCAGAAGGCGCUAAACGAUAUAGCCAAUUUGAUCAUAACGACUGCUUCGAAGUGUGAGUAGUUGAUCUUUGUUUGAAUUAGUGGAUUAUAAACAUGCAAUCCUUGCAUCUCAGCCGUUGUUACCGGUCAGAUAAGUAGCGGCUGCUACCACCAUGUCGUCUGUUGGUCAACCAGCGGAAUAUAUUUUGCAGCCUGAUUAACUGGAGUCGCCAUGUUGACCAGCGCUGAUCUAGGUACCACAAAUUCGAGUCCAAAGUUCGCAGGAGCAGCCGUCGCCAGAUUGAUCGCCACUGUGCUGGAUAUUGGAGUCUGAAUUGCUGCAAACGUGCUAGCCGCUGUCGUCUGGUAGUAUGCAUCAGAUAAUAGCUUCUUGCAGCAUAUCUUCUGAUUCUCAAUCUUUGUUGCAGUUGCCGUUCGAUCAGACGCCAUUGACGUGGAAGCUGCUCUGGUCGAGUUGUCUGAUUUGAGCGCUGAAUGCACCUAAACGUAACCAUGAUAACGAGAUCAGUAAAUCCUUCGCCAUUUUGCACAUCUGGUAUGCCGUCAAUUGUGUGCCUCACAGACAAGCUGAUAGCCGACGCCGUAUUGGUUGCCUGUGCUGUUGUUGUGUUUGUGUGGGUGCUCGUCGUUGGAGAAAUGCCCAUUGCGCUGCGGUUGGCUGCUGCAGAGUUCGCUGGAAAUAUAAAAAUACUCGUUAUCGGCACGGCUUCUUGUUGGGCCGGUGGCAUAGCGAAGUACGCUUGCCUUGCCAGACGUCUUGCUUGUAGUCGCUCUUCUAGCCGCUGUAGUGCCUGCUCUCUUUGCGCAUAUAUUUGAGCAUAUAUUUGUAUCGACUCUUGAUGUUCUCGAA